RNAcentral lists this microRNA (18 nucleotides) under Ciona intestinalis (vase tunicate). Its description in RNAcentral is "cin-miR-4116-5p". The record is from miRBase by way of RNAcentral. Lineage: Eukaryota; Metazoa; Chordata; Ascidiacea; Phlebobranchia; Cionidae.
GGGGCAAGAUGGGAUUUU